RNAcentral lists this ribosomal RNA (593 nucleotides) under Leptolyngbya sp. C78. RNAcentral describes it as "bacterial SSU rRNA". It matches the Rfam family "Bacterial small subunit ribosomal RNA", at positions 146 to 770 of the family's 1533-position model. Lineage: Bacteria; Bacillati; Cyanobacteriota; Cyanophyceae; Leptolyngbyales; Leptolyngbyaceae. The record is from RNAcentral.
ACGACUGGAAACGGCCGCUAAUACCCCAUAUGUCCUUGGAUGAAAAGAAUUUUCGCCUGAAGAUGAGCUCGCGUCAUAUUAGCUAGUUGGUGGGGUAACGGCCCACCAAGGCGACGAUCUGUAGCUGGUCUGAGAGGAUGAUCAGCCACACUGGGACUGAGACACGGCCCAGACUCCUACGGGAUGCAGCAGUGGGGAAUUUUCCGCAAUGGGCGAAAGUUUGACGGAUCGGGACCGCGUGAGGUAUGACGGCCUAAUGGUUGUAAACCUCUUUUCUCUGGGAAGAUGAUGACGGUACCAGAGGAAUCAGCCUCGGCUAACUCCGUGCCAGCAGCCGCGGGUAAUACGGAGGAGGCAAGCGUUAUCCGGAAUUAUUGGGCGUAAAGCGUCCGUAGGUGGUUAGACAAGUCAGCUGUUAAAGCGGGGGGCUUAACUCCAUAAGGGCGGUUGAAACUGUUUAACUUGAGUGCGGAAGGGGUUACGGGAAUUCCCAUUGUAGCGGUGAAAUGCGUAGAUAUUGGGAAGAACACCGGUGGCGAAAGCUCGUAACUGGGCCUGCACUGAUAUCUCACGGCCGAAAGCCAAGGGGAGCU